Molecule: small RNA, 72 nt
Filed under: Pseudomonas sp. M47T1
Lineage: Bacteria; Pseudomonadati; Pseudomonadota; Gammaproteobacteria; Pseudomonadales; Pseudomonadaceae
Description: Pseudomonas sRNA P10
Rfam family: Pseudomonas sRNA P10
Source: Rfam by way of RNAcentral
CGUCACCGACCCUACUGCUUGCCCGUUAUCGGGGCAUGGCGUCAACCCAAUUGCCUCGGGCUCGCCCGACGU